CCUACGGGAGGCAGCAGUGAGGAAUAUUGGUCAAUGGACGAGAGUCUGAACCAGCCAAGUAGCGUGAAGGAUGACUGCCCUAUGGGUUGUAAACUUCUUUUAUAUGGGAAUAAAAUGUUCCACGUGUGGGAUUUUGUAUGUACCCUAUGAAUAAGGAUCGGCUAACUCCGUGCCAGCAGCCGCGGUAAUACGGAGGAUCCGAGCGUUAUCCGGAUUUAUUGGGUUUAAAGGGAGCGUAGGUGGAUUGUUAAGUCAGUUGUGAAAGUUUGCGGCUCAACCGUAAAAUUGCAGUUGAAACUGGCAGUCUUGAGUACAGUAGAGGUGGGCGGAAUUCGUGGUGUAGCGGUGAAAUGCUUAGAUAUCACGAAGAACUCCGAUUGCGAAGGCAGUUCACUGGACUGCAACUGACAUUGAGGCUCGAAAGUGUGGGUAUCAAACAGGAUUAGAUACCCCAGUAGUC
RNAcentral lists this ribosomal RNA (460 nucleotides) under uncultured bacterium. RNAcentral describes it as "partial 16S ribosomal RNA". It matches the Rfam family "Bacterial small subunit ribosomal RNA", at positions 338 to 795 of the family's 1533-position model. The record is from RNAcentral.